This is a long non-coding RNA of Triticum aestivum (bread wheat), 1431 nucleotides long. RefSeq lists it as uncharacterized. The record is from RefSeq and is a predicted model, not a curated record. Lineage: Eukaryota; Viridiplantae; Streptophyta; Magnoliopsida; Poales; Poaceae. The transcript has 4 exons.
AAUUGAGCGCGAGCUCAAAUGAGCUCGUUAUCCACGUCGUUGGUUAGCCCCUCUAGAUGUGUGCCAUUAAUUUAUCCUAGCGUCGGUGGUCAUCCAGAAAUCGGGUACUGUUCCGAAAUACGUCCCCGGCAGCGGUGUCCAGUGGGCCAGAUUUAACGCUGGGGAGGACGGCAGUUUGCCACCGGGGAGGUGUUCCAUGGAUCAGAAUCAGAGCCGCCGUCUGAUCCGUGGAUCAGGAAAUUCGCUUUACCGUCUCGCCGCACGAGUCGAGUUGAAUCCAGAGUCCAGCCGUCUUCUCUUGCAAAGCGACUGACGAUUUGAAGGCGACGACUGGGAGAUAAAGGUCAGGAGCGGCAGCGGCGAUCCAACAUGGAGUUCUUGAUGCAGCCGAUCGGCAGAUCUGCUGUGCUUGAGGAGAUAGAAGAGAGCCUGGUGCCUGUCCCUCUGGUUGCCGAUGGCGAAGUGGUGGCGGAGCAUGCUGUGCGGCAGCAUCACAGGGCGGCGGACAGCGGCAAAGCACAGAUCAGGGGCGGAGGCCGCAGCGGGCAGAAGGGAUAGCUCCCCUCCGACGCCCGAGGGGAAGACGAAUCCCCAGGCGCCCGGAUGGAAUAAGAGGACUAGGGUUGGAUUAGCUGGCAGGACGAGGAUGAAGUUGGUUCCGGCCAAGAGCAGCGUCAUGCGCUGGCUGUCGGUGGAGCAGCGUGGAGGCGCGACACGGGGGAGGCUCGGCUGCUGCACCUGUGGCUGCAUGCGCACAUGUGCUGGCUGAAUCUCCGCCUGGCUGCCAUGGUCGAAGUUGUGGUCUCGCCUGUAUCUCUGCUGAAGGGGAGCCAACGGGUGCAUAGCAAAGGGGGGUUGCAGCACGUACGGCUGCGUCAGCCCUGCACGAGUCAGCUCCGGCAGAAGCAAGCUCCGGCGCGCGAGGCGAAGGUGACCACCUUGUCGAGGUAGCCAGGGCAAGGGAUGGGUGGCAGCACUUCCUGAGGCUGCGAGGAAGAAAAGUGAAUCUUCCAGAGCAAGGGUGUGUGCGGUCGAUGCAGUGCAUGUAUAUAUUAAAAAAUGUUUGCUGGAAUCCACCGUUCGGUGUGUAACGGCUGAGCCGUGGACCACGACGCUAGUGUCCAUCUGAGCCGGCUAGUGCUGGAUGAUGGACGUCUCAAUAAAUGCGGUCGGUGAGUGGGCCCUAGUCUGUGGAAAAGCAUCUCAUACUACUCAGAAUACGCAGUAAAAUACAUCUCCUGAUGCGAAUCUUAGCGCCAGACGAUGGCUGGGAUAGCAGGUCCAUCUGAGCUCGAGCUCAGAAUAGGACUUUCGAUCCUCAUUGUACUUGUCCAGUAAAGCUUGAACCAAAAGGCUGAUAUUCCUACGGUCCGGAUUUCCUUUGGAAGAGUUCUUCCUUGUGCCAUCAAGCCAGUAAAGCUCGUGUCUUAC